RNAcentral lists this transfer RNA (72 nucleotides) under Prototheca wickerhamii. Its description in RNAcentral is "tRNA-Glu". It matches the Rfam family "tRNA". From Rfam's summary of the family: Transfer RNA (tRNA) molecules are approximately 80 nucleotides in length. Their secondary structure includes four short double-helical elements and three loops (D, anti-codon, and T loops). Lineage: Eukaryota; Viridiplantae; Chlorophyta; Trebouxiophyceae; Chlorellales; Chlorellaceae. The record is from RNAcentral.
GUCCCUUUCGUCUAGGGGUUAGGACGUUACCUUUUCACGGUAGUAACACGAGUUCGAUUCUCGUAAGGGAUA